Molecule: non-coding RNA, 641 nt
Organism: Paramuricea clavata
Lineage: Eukaryota; Metazoa; Cnidaria; Anthozoa; Malacalcyonacea; Plexauridae
Source: the annotation of a GenBank genome assembly
CCAUGAUUGGAAUGAGGAGAUGCCCUUCAUGCAUAUUAUUUUAUACUAAUUCUGCAAGGACUUUCAAAAGUGGUCCAAGUACCAAUCCCAGAAAGUCACUUCCCCCCUGAACAAGAAUUUCCUUUUCGUUCUAAAACUUCUACUUCUGUCCGCUAAAUCAGCUAGAUCUUGUUUGAAAGGUCUGAGUUUGUCCUUUGUUUCUUUAGAGUAUGUGAAAUUUUCUAUACAAUGACACAAGCAUCGAAUUUGCUCAGGUGAUGUAGAAUUAAGAAGAGCUUGCUGUUGAGUUGGAUGAGAAGUACAUAAGAGCUCUACAAAAGGCCUGUACACAUCAAAGUAUGUCAUCUCUCUUCAAGAGUUGGAACCUAAAUGGUUCAUUUACUCGAGGAACAUGACUUUAAAAACGUUUUUGCGAAUAUAGAUUGAAUCAUUGAAACUUAGAUUGAAUCAUAGAGUGAGUCAUUGAAUCAUUGAAUGAAUCAUUGAAUCAUUGAAUCAACUAAACGACCGUAGAGAGAAACUAUGUGAAAAACUGUUUCGUGAAAUUGAAGAAAAUAAAGAUCACAAACUUCACGGACUUUUACCAGAAAUGAAUAAGGCUGGUUAUAACUUCAGAACAAUUAAGAAAUAUAAUCUCCCAA